UAGGGUAAGAUAAAAACUCCCCUGCAUGCAGCCCAUCUCCCAGGAUGCCUAAGAUCCAAGUCUUUCCUUAUAUUAUCAGAAUUAUUCUACCUUCAAAAACAAUGUCAAAGACAGCGUUCAGUCCUUAACCCUGAAGCACAAUGGGAACUCCUCUUCUUGUUUUAGUUGUUUUCCCUUAUUCUUUUUUGCUGUGUCUCUGUGAACGACUAUCUUUUCCCAUGUCAUGUUGGAUUCUGCAGGAAAACUGGAUUGUCACAGAUUCUUCUAAAGAUACAGGAAAGUCGGAUGUUAUCUGAGAGGUGUUUUAAACAAGGCAAGAUUUUAAACAACACUAAAGCCAAGAGCAGGAAGGGCUGCUGUGUUAAGUUAGAAACCUUCUCUCAAGCUCUCAUUCAAAGAGUCCCUUUUCUAAGACUCAGGACAUAUUAUGAAGGAUGAUGUCACCUUGAAGGCUUUGCAUGGACCUGGUUCAAGAGAGACUGAUAAGAAGGGAGGAUUCCACUUAACCUAGACUAACAAAGGGAAAGGGGACCGACAGAAGACAAAACCAAUUACCCAGCUACAUGCUUUGGGGUUUCUUCCUUCUUAACUUCAUGGGCACUGCAGGUUAAUUUCCUCUUUUUUAUGAGACUGACAUGCUACAGACUGCACGAACAAGGCACCUAUUUUUUUCUUUUUUAGGUAACUUACCCAACAGUGAAUACACAUAUAAAACGGAACAACCAGUAGGUACCAAAGGGUGAAAGCUGAGGAGGAUGUGCCCUCCCCCCCACCUCUAGCAUCCUGCUUCCCUCCCCAGGGAUAGCCACCUGGACCAGUUUACUUCAUCCCUCAGCCACCUUUGAAGCUCGUCACAAGCCCCCUGAAACACCCCCUGGAUGGCCAAAGAGAAGGUACAAACUGGCUGAUGCACAGAGGGGAAGGUGGUCUCCCUUUCAAACAUAAUUCCUCCAGGUACUUGAGAGAAGUGGGGAAAAAAGAGAUGGACACAGACAAUGAAAGACAGCCGGGAAGACCCUGACGUCACUUCCUCGACGUGCUGAGGACGCAUUUGAUCCUGUGGAGGCUUGUUUAUCCCGUACAUGCCAAAAAAAAAAAAAAAAAAAAAAGAACUGCCACUUGGCUUCUUCUGGAUACCAGGAAGUUUUUGUUUUUUCUUUCCGAAAUCAGGGCAACCUGUCAAAGGUUCCUCUGUGUGAGACAGGUCAUUCAUAUGAAACACGGAGGCUGCCCUGUGUGUAGCUCAGAAGGGAGGGGAUUUUCAGUAGUGUUUCCAGAGGGUCUUCUUUUUUUCUUUUUAGGGCUGUACCUAUGGCAUAUGGCAAUUCCCAGGCUAGGGGGUCAAGUCGGAGCUGCAACUGCCAGCUUACACCACAGCCAGCAGCUAUAGUUCCAAUUAGACCCCUAGCCUGGGAAGCUCCAUGUACCUCGGGUGCAGCCCAAAAAAAAGAAAGUAUCUUUAAGGAAUCUUCAAGGGGAAGUAACCCAGUCUUGUCCUUCCAUUUCAUUCCCAUUGUCCCAUUGGAUCUUGUUUUUUCUCUCUUUUUUCUUUUUAUGGUUGCACCUGCAGCACGCAGGUAGAAGUUCCCAGGCUAGGGGUCAAAUGAGAGCUGCAGCUUGCAGACUAUACUAUGGCCACAGAAAUGUCAGACCCGAACUGCAUCUGCAAGCUAUGCCACAGAGUGAGGAAACACUGGAUCCUUAACCCACUGAGAGACCAGAGAUUGAACCUUCAUUCUCA
This 1741-nucleotide long non-coding RNA is filed under the name Sus scrofa (pig). RNAcentral's name for it is "lncRNA (ENSSSCG00055003586.1)". Lineage: Eukaryota; Metazoa; Chordata; Mammalia; Artiodactyla; Suidae. The record is from RNAcentral.